Molecule: unclassified non-coding RNA, 239 nt
Filed under: plant metagenome
Description: partial contains small subunit ribosomal RNA and internal transcribed spacer 1
Rfam family: Eukaryotic small subunit ribosomal RNA (bases 1-46)
Source: RNAcentral
AAGUCGUAACAAGGUUUCCGUAGGUGAACCUGCGGAAGGAUCAUUAACGAAUGAAGUUGAGCGAGGUUGUCGCUGGCCUUCGGGCAUGUGCACACCUUGUUCGUCCAACCUUCUACACCUCUGUGCACUUCUCAUGGGUUCGGGUACUGUGCCUUCGGGCUGGAACCCUUGCCUGUGUGCUCACACAUACACAAUGUUUGUUAUAGAAUGUCUACUGUGCAUGAAUGCAUAUAAUACAA